This 22-nucleotide unclassified non-coding RNA is filed under the name Chlamydomonas reinhardtii. Its description in RNAcentral is "small RNA Cre_2614". The record is from RNAcentral. Lineage: Eukaryota; Viridiplantae; Chlorophyta; Chlorophyceae; Chlamydomonadales; Chlamydomonadaceae.
UCGAACGUGCUGGGGCGCGGGU